This 481-nucleotide ribosomal RNA is filed under the name uncultured bacterium. RNAcentral's name for it is "partial 16S ribosomal RNA". It matches the Rfam family "Bacterial small subunit ribosomal RNA", at positions 28 to 507 of the family's 1533-position model. The record is from RNAcentral.
GAUGAACGCUGGCGGCGUGCUUAACACAUGCAAGUCGAACGAAGCACUUUAUUUGAUUUCCUUCGGGACUGAUUAUUUUGUGACUGAGUGGCGGACGGGUGAGUAACGCGUGGGUAACCUGCCUUGUACAGGGGGCUAACAGUUGGAAACGGCUGCUAAUACCGCAUAAGCGCACGGCAUCGCAUGAUGCAGUGUGAAAAACUCCGGUGGUAUAAGAUGGACCCGCGUUGGAUUAGCUAGUUGGUGAGGUAACGGCCCACCAAGGCGACGAUCCAUAGCCGACCUGAGAGGGUGACCGGCCACAUUGAGACUGAGACACGGCCCAAACUCCUACGGGAGGCAGCAGUGGGGAAUAUUGCACAAUGGGCGAAAGCCUGAUGCAGCGACGCCGCGUGAGCGAAGAAGUAUUUCGGUAUGUAAAGCUCUAUCAGCAGGGAAGAUAAUGACGGUACCUGACGAAGAAGCACCGGCUAAAUACGUG